UUCCAAUAUUCCAAAGAGAUCGAGGAGAUGUAACAGGGUCUUGGACCUGUGACCUCCAUCUGAGUAACUUAGGUUAAUAUGUCCCUGGGAUUUCUCGCGGUCUUCCAUCAAUUUAACAGUUUGUUCCUAUUGCUCAAUAAAAUGUACUGUUGGAAAAGCGAGUGUAAGCAUUUUAGUUGUAGGAGAAAAAAAAGAGAGAGAAGGAGAAUGAGAGAGAAAGAGAGAGAGAGCUGACUUCAAUUGUCUGUUUUUUCUAUUUAAUGGAGACACCAGGGACUAGAAAUAUCCCGGGGCUGGAUGCAGGCUAGAUUCAAGGGACUGGUUAACACAGAUAGCAAAGUCUUUGCAAGGAGCCAGGACCCAGUUUCACUUUCAACUAUGGCAUUCUCAAUACAGUCCUAUCCCUAACAUGUGGGCAAAGAAAUUCCCAGUGGGAACUUGGAAUGAGGUUGGAAACUCUGAGGAGCGAGGCAAGAGUGUGACCUGGCUCCCUGGACCGCUGGCCUGGAGCCAGAUCCUCUGCUCCUUUUCAGAGAUGGAAUUGAGGCAGAGAAGAACUCACAGAGAGAAAAGAGACUCUUUUUGUUUUGUUUGUUUGGUUUGUUGUUGUGUCGGUGGUGGUGGCUCUUGGAGAGAAGCGUUGCCGCGUAUCAUCCGGGCCAUCAUCGAAUAAUACUGUGGACUCUCCAUUCUGGGCUGUACAGCAGGGCUAACCUGUGUCUACCGCACAUCUCACUCGUUUUUUCCUGUAGUCAAGUCCCUUUCCCUGCAGGGUGUUUGGAGCCACUUUCUACAUCAAUAUCAUCAGACUUCCUUGUUAGUUUGGUGGCAUGUUAUUCCAGGACAUAUCAGAGGAGACCCUUCUUGGGAAGUAGGUGCAGGAAGCAGUAAUAAUACCUUAAAAAAACCUCUUUCUUCUUGUUUCAAGUUAAUGUUUUUUAAAUUUGAUAUCUAUAUUUUCCCACUGUGACUGGUUUUGGGUUGUGGGAUUUUAAGGAAAUUCUCAAAAUACAAAGUUAAUUAUUUACUGAGUGCCAAUGAGAGAGGGAUACAGAAGGAGAAAUGUCGUGGUCGUUGCCCAAAAGGAGCUUUUGUGUAGUUAGGAAAUAAAGAAGGCACACACAGGACCAUUAGUGAACAAAGCUCUACGACAUGAGCUAAUCGUUUGGAAUCAACGAGUGCCUCAGUCAAACCACGAAACCAACCAGUGUGGAUCGGAACUCCACCGAAAACAGGAACAUGGCUGGGUCCCAAAAGGGUAGAUCCCAUGUGUUUCAGGUGAUUUCGACUCCACUCUUGGCUCCAUGGGCAUGACAUGACUCUAACGCUGAACCAUCGGUGAAUGCUGCUCCUCUGGCCACAGCUGGUUCAGGGAUGAACACAGGACCCAGUUCAGGCUAAUCAGAGCUAAUAAGAUUCAAUACAAGGACUUUCUGAAUUAUCAGAGAUGAGGCCUCUUUUUUUAAUGGCAGCCGUUGUGCCUUCAUAAGGGACAAGCACGCCUGAGAAUGGAGCCAACUUAGGCAGGGAAGAGCUGAGAGAUGGAGAGAAACUGAAUCUGGUGACAUCAUUUGAGUCGCUGAAUUCAGCUGUGUCUGAAACCAUAUUCUCUGUACAUUUUAGUUAUGUAAACCAAAACUUUCUCCUUUCUUUUCCUUUUUUAAGGAAGAUUAGCCCUGAGCUAACACCCACUACGAAUCCUCCUCUUUUUGCUGAGGAAGACUGGCCCUGAGCUAACAUCUGUGCCCAUCUUCUUCUACUUUAUAUGUGGGACACCUGCCAAAGCGUGGCUUGAUAAGCAGUGCAUAGGUCUGCACCCAGGAUGCAAACUGGUAAACCCCGGGCCACCAAAGCAGAAUGCGUGAACUUAACGGCUGCACCACCAGGCUGGCCCCAAUACUUUCUCUCUUUUACUUAAAACAUUUGGCUUGGGUUUCUGUCACUUGCAAUGAAAAGAGACCCAACUUGCGCAACAGGACCGGGAGAGGCAGAAGGACAAAAGCAAUCCAGGUCCAGAAGCUUCACUGUGACUGCCGGCAAUGACAUGGCAUUUUGAGGAGGCUCUCUUUGCUUACGUUGACUCCUGUGGAUCACGUGCACGUGAAUUAAGCUCUUGAAAGGUUUUACGGAGAUGGCGAAGCAGCUGAGAAGCAGAGGCUGGCUUGAUGUGCGGCUGUGGGGUGAGAUGAGCGAUACUCCUUGGUCGGCCUGGCUCAUCUUACUCGUCAUUUCCUGCAGGAGAACAGCUUGAGUGGCUCUCUGCAAUAUGUCACCUAGAAGCAGGAAGCCAUUCCGAACCCACGUGUUCCCAGCACUGAGUCAUCUCUAAAUGUCCUGAGCUUUCCAAUGACCUUGCUGACAGAGCAAGUCAAAGUCAGGAAGCAGAGUUUCCUGGGAUUUCCCAUACAGUCAUAGACAUCUGCAAGAUAAUCUGGGAAAAUUUUCAAGUCAAACAGAAGAAGUACAAGAACAUCUAACUGAAAUCCUCAUUGUUUCUGACGGUGCUGAGUCUACUGAACGUUGUUCUUCCUUUUAACUAGACGUGGGAUUUAAGAGAAGAAAGGCCUGGAAACAAAAGCACCACAGGAGCGAUGAGUUCACUUGGUGCGCAGGUCAUGCUGUCUGCAUUCCUUCUUUGGAGAAAUGCCUGAUUACAGUCCUGGGAAUGCAGGGCACAGGGCCUAGCAAUAUUCUGGCCCAAAGAAGACCCUCCAAAACAUUUGUUAAGCAGAUGAAGAAAUGAGUUAAUGAACGAGCAUCUCAGAGCCUCGUGAGGACAAAGCAGAGCAGUCAAGAAUGUCCCAAAUGGGGGAAGCUUCUCCCAGGCAGUCAUCUGCGGACCAGGCUCCCCGGCCUCAGCUGUUCAUGCUCCUGUGCACACGCUCCCUGGGCCACAUGCCUGCACCAAGCUUCCUUUUGCCGUCUCAAAACUACUCUUGGCAAAGCAUGGCCUGGAGAACUUUCAUGAACCUUUGGUAAGGAAAAGGUUCUUUGUGGAAAUUGAGAAGUCCAGGCUGCGGCAGAGUAUGAGCAGCAGAUGGGUCUCAGUUUGGGGCAGUGAAUAAUUGCCCCGUCGGAGCGCCUUCUCAUGCCGGAAGGAAUAUGCCGCAUGAUGCGAGGGACCACGUUUCCUAUUUUACUUUGAUUUUACUUUCAGUGGAGUGGAGUUAAUGAAGUAUAGUCUAAACGGCAAAGAGGGGCUCUGGUCCCCGGAAACCCACGUUAAAACCGGAAGACAUCACAGAGGUUCCAGCGCUUUCACGAAGGGACCAGCCGGCUCGUCUGUCCGUAAAGCUGUGUUGGGUCAACGCCACAAGGGUCAUUGCUCCUGUGUCCCUGCUUCCGCCCUGCGGCGUGGGGGUGAGCGGCGGGGACAGAGACCGCGGGAGCUUUGUGGGCGGCGAGGGGGCCCCGCAGACGAAGCGGCCGCCCUGGUCAGUGGCCUUCUUUGCCACCCACCGUCCCGCCCAAGGCCCCAGAUACUUACAACGUUUUUCUUCAAAAGCCUAAAGGAAAAUGACCGAGCUGGCCUCUGUUUGGGGGCCGCGGGGCGUUCCCGGGCGUGACGUGGAGCCCUGGCCCUGCUGGCGGGGCCCGAACCUCCAGGUGGUGGAACCCGAGGCCUGGAAGGGUGGCCCGGGAAGAGAGCGGGGCAGGAAACGCGCCCCAGAGACGAGCCCAGCGCCAGGGCAGGGCAGCUGGAAGCGGG
Molecule: long non-coding RNA, 3709 nt
Organism: Equus asinus (donkey)
Lineage: Eukaryota; Metazoa; Chordata; Mammalia; Perissodactyla; Equidae
Source: Ensembl